GAUCCUGGCUCAGGAUGAACGCUGGCGGCGUGCUUAACACAUGCAAGUCGAGCGAAGCACUUUGGAAAGAUUCUUCGGAUGAUUUCCUUUGUGACUGAGCGGGCGACGGGUGAAGGUAACGCGUGGGUAACCUNCCUCAUACAGGGGGAUAACAGUUAGAAAUGACUGCUAAUACCGCAUAAGACCACGGUACCGCAUGGUACAGUGGUAAAAACUCCGUGGUAUGAGAUGACCCGCGU
This 239-nucleotide ribosomal RNA is filed under the name uncultured bacterium. Its description in RNAcentral is "partial 16S ribosomal RNA". It matches the Rfam family "Bacterial small subunit ribosomal RNA", at positions 15 to 236 of the family's 1533-position model. The record is from RNAcentral.